UACGGGAGGCAGCAGUGAGGAAUAUUGGACAAUGGGCGCAAGCCUGAUCCAGCCAUGCCGCGUGCAGGAUGACGGUCCUAUGGAUUGUAAACUGCUUUUGUACAGGAAGAAACACUCCCUCGUGAGGGAGCUUGACGGUACUGUAAGAAUAAGGAUCGGCUAACUCCGUGCCAGCAGCCGCGGUAAUACGGAGGAUCCAAGCGUUAUCCGGAAUCAUUGGGUUUAAAGGGUCCGUAGGCGGUUUAAUAAGUCAGUGGUGAAAGCCCAUCGCUCAACGGUGGAACGGCCAUUGAUACUGUUAAACUUGAAUUAUUAGGAAGUAACUAGAAUAUGUAGUGUAGCGGUGAAAUGCUUAGAGAUUACAUGGAAUACCAAUUGCGAAGGCAGGUUACUACUAAUGGAUUGACGCUGAUGGACGAAAGCGUGGGUAGCGAACAGGAUUAGAUACCCUGGUAGUCCACGCCGUAAACGAUGGAUACUAGCUGUUGGGAGCAAUCUCAGUGGCUAAGCGAAAGUGAUAAGUAUCCCCCCUGGA
Molecule: ribosomal RNA, 535 nt
Filed under: uncultured Bacteroidota bacterium
Lineage: Bacteria; Pseudomonadati; Bacteroidota
Description: bacterial SSU rRNA
Rfam family: Bacterial small subunit ribosomal RNA
Source: RNAcentral